AUUUGAGCUAAUAUCGAAAUCCAUUCUUAAUAUAGCUGUUAUGGCUAAUAACUCAUAUAUUUGCAGAUAUUACAUACAUUAAAUAAAUAUAUUUCACUAUCCUUUCGACACCAUGAAAAAAAUGACCACACCGCUGACUUCACCAUAGCUUCUCUGCUACAGGUAAACUCAUCACAAUCCUGCGCUGCAUCGCCAUCACUGUCACAUGACAAAGUUCCUCCCCUCCUCCA
Molecule: long non-coding RNA, 230 nt
Organism: Xiphophorus hellerii (green swordtail)
Lineage: Eukaryota; Metazoa; Chordata; Actinopteri; Cyprinodontiformes; Poeciliidae
Exons: 2
Source: RefSeq, a predicted model, not a curated record